GAUGAAGAACGUAGCGAAAUGCGAUAAGUAAUGUGAAUUGCAGAAUUCAGUGAAUCAUCGAAUCUUUGAACGCACAUUGCGCCCGCCAGUAUUCUGGCGGGCAUGCCUGUUCGAGCGUCAUUUCAACCAUCAAGCCCCAGGCUUGUGUUGGGGACCUGCGGCUGCCGCAGGCCCUGAAAACCAGUGGCGGGCUCGCUGUCACACCGGGCGUAGUAGAUUUUAUCUCGCUCUGGGCGUGCUGCGGGUUCCGGCCGUUAAAAGACCCUUUUAACCCAAGGUUGACCUCGGAUCAGGUAGGAAUACCCGCUGAACUUAAGCAUAUCAAUAAGCGGAGGA
Molecule: unclassified non-coding RNA, 336 nt
Filed under: soil metagenome
Description: partial contains 5.8S ribosomal RNA, internal transcribed spacer 2, and large subunit ribosomal RNA
Rfam family: 5.8S ribosomal RNA (bases 1-120)
Source: RNAcentral